GAUGAGCGCUGGCGGCGUGCCUAAUACAUGCAAGUCGAGCGAACAGAUCAGGAGCUUGCUCCUUUGACGUUAGCGGCGGACGGGUGAGUAACACGUGGAUAACCUACCUAUAAGACUGGGAUAACUUCGGGAAACCGGAGCUAAUACCGGAUAACAUAUUGAACCGCAUGGUUCAAUAGUGAAAGGCGGCUUUGCUGUCACUUAUAGAUGGAUCCGCGCCGUAUUAGCUAGUUGGUAAGGUAACGGCUUACCAAGGCAACGAUACGUAGCCGACCUGAGAGGGUGAUCGGCCACACUGGAACUGAGACACGGUCCAGACUCCGACGGUAGGCAGCAGUAGGGAAUCUUCCGCAAGGGGCGAAAGCCUGACGGAGCAACGCCGCGUGAGUGAUGAAGGUCUUCGGAUCGUAAAACUCUGUUAUCAGGGAAGAACAAAUGUGUAAGUAACUGUGCACAUCUUGACGGUACCUGAUCAGAAAGCCACGGCUAACUACGUG
This 497-nucleotide ribosomal RNA is filed under the name uncultured bacterium. RNAcentral's name for it is "partial 16S ribosomal RNA". It matches the Rfam family "Bacterial small subunit ribosomal RNA", at positions 28 to 507 of the family's 1533-position model. The record is from RNAcentral.